This 253-nucleotide ribosomal RNA is filed under the name uncultured bacterium. Its description in RNAcentral is "partial 16S ribosomal RNA". It matches the Rfam family "Bacterial small subunit ribosomal RNA", at positions 524 to 776 of the family's 1533-position model. The record is from RNAcentral.
UACGUAGGGUGCAAGCGUUGUCCGGAAUUAUUGGGCGUAAAGAGCUCGUAGGCGGUUUGUCGCGUCGAAUGUGAAAACCCGGGGCUCAACUCCGGGCCUGCAGUCGAUACGGGCAAACUGGAGUGUUGCAGGGGAGACUGGAAUUCCUGGUGUAGCGGUGAAAUGCGCAGAUAUCAGGAGGAACACCGGUGGCGAAGGCGGGUCUCUGGGCAACAACUGACGCUGAGGAGCGAAAGCGUGGGGAGCGAACAGG